Long non-coding RNA from Cyprinus carpio carpio, 2110 nucleotides. The record is from Ensembl. NCBI's taxonomy places the organism in Eukaryota, Metazoa, Chordata, Actinopteri, Cypriniformes, Cyprinidae.
UUCCGUCAUACCGUGCUUUGCAGUUUCUCCAAUUUUUAUAAUAAUGUUAUGAAAGAACCGUCUGUUGUUAUAUUUAAAAUGUUUGCUCAGAGAGCACAGAGAUGAUAGCAAAUAAGUAAAGCUAACGUCAGCAGCCAUGGCACUGGACGAGCAAUCGUAAUUAUAAUCCAAAAGGGCAAACAGUCUAAAUUAUUAUGUAAGUUGACUCGAGAUACAAAAAAUGCAAAACUGCAAAGUCGCAUUUGUCAUCCAUCACCGUGAAAGCAAGUGGACUUUUGAAGCUGGAAUAAUGAGUGGAUUACGCAUUUAAAUUGGCAAGAGAGGAAUAACAUGGAUGGAACUUUCUUGGCGAGGAGGAUUGUGUGCAUCACAGUCAGGUACAAGGGAGAAGGCUUCUUACGUUAGGAGAAUCUGGACUCUGCUGCCUUUGGCACAUGAUGUGACAGAGUGAGUACUGCACUCUCCCACAGAGACAAACACACCUAAGACUGGUUUAUGAUCUGCCAUGCUGGGCAACAUGUCCACAAGAGUCAACAUGAGAGAGUCGUUCAGAGGUAUCAGCAGUUAUGUGACACCGCAUGAGAAUGCCACCAACAGGUCAAAGAGAAUGACAGAGAAGGAUGAAAGAAUGGGAAUGUUAAAUAUCUUGAAUGAUCCCUGUUAUUGUUAUUAUAUAUAUCACUAGAUACGUGAUGAUUUUAUGAUUGAUUUGUGUGUUUUUAUAAAAUUUAUUAUGGAACAGAUCACACUAAAUACCAUAUUACCUGACAGAUGAAAAUAAAUUAAUUAAUAAUUCAACCAAACGAAAUAAAAUUCAAGGUCAAAACAGACAAAGAAAAAAAUGUUAUGGAUUAUAUGUAACUAAAUGUUUAAAUAUCUUAUAUUUUCUAACAAUGUUAUUACAAUUAUUUUCAUAUGAUAAAAAUGAAUAAAAUGUGAUGAUUUUAUGAAUUUCUGGUUUUAAACAAAAACACCCGCCUACUCCUAUUCUAACGCUUGGAAGAGCCAGGAUCAUUUUUAAUAUAACUCUGAUUGGAUUUGUCUGAAAGAAGAAAGACAUAUACACCUAGGAUGCUUUGAGGGUGAGUAAAACAUGAGCUAAUUUUCAUUUUUGGGUGAACUAACCCUUUAACUUUAUUGUCCUUAAAGACAAUUAUUUAUGUAGACAGGAUCAUACAGUACAUAUACAUACACAUACAGCAGCAGGACAGCACACAUAAAACACACACAUUUAUAAUGAGUCAUUUAAAAACAUUAUUGCAGCAGGUACAAAGAAAUUCUUAUACCUAUUUGAUUUGCACAAAGGGAGUUUUAAGUCCCCAGCUAGAAGGAAGCAGUUGAAAUUCAGUACACAAUAGAUGAGUGGCAUCAGAAAGGUUGCAGUUUUGCAGUUUUAAGUUUUCCUUUGUCUCUGAAAUGUUGCAAGCUGUUUGUGCAUAUAUAAGAACCAUAAAGUUGUAAAGACUAAAGUCUCAAACCCAAAGAGAUAUUAUUUCUAAAAGUUAAGACUCAGCCACGCCUUCCUAAAAUGCUUUAUUCAAGCAUGCCCCCACAUAUCUACGUCACAGUGUUGGAAGAUUUGCAUAACACUGUCCAAAUGUUUACACAAAGAAAGAAGGCUUAACUAUAUUAUUCUCGCUGUAGUAUUGCUGCUGCCGCCACCAUGUCGUGGAGACGCUGUGUGUUUCCAAAUAAGGUAAGAGGUGUAACAUUUCCCUCACAUGCUUGAAGUAUUCGGCCAAUCACAAUGCACUGGAUAGCUGGCCAAUCAGAGCACAUCUCGCUUUUCAGAACAAUGAGCUUUGUAAAAAUGUACGCAUUUCUGAAAGGCGAGGCAGAGAGGAGUAACAAUAAUGUGCGGUACAUGGUAAAAUUUUUUUUGUUUUUUUACCCUUAAAUCUCGUUAACACAUUACACCAAAUAAUGCUAUUUUUAGCAUAGUUUGCCUCCACUAUCUUCCUGUGCUUUUUAACUAUACUGUACAACUUACCCCUGUUCUUUACAUUCAAAUUGCCACAAUAAUCCACAAACAAUUCACAUGACUCCAAUCUGUCAAUUAAUGUUUUGUGAAGUGAAAAGCUGCAUGUUUGUAGGUAACAAAUCCAUCAAG